Long non-coding RNA from Triticum dicoccoides, 1740 nucleotides. RefSeq lists it as uncharacterized. NCBI's taxonomy places the organism in Eukaryota, Viridiplantae, Streptophyta, Magnoliopsida, Poales, Poaceae. The transcript is spliced from 9 exons. The record is from RefSeq and is a predicted model, not a curated record.
AAUGCCUUUGUAGGGAAGCAAACUCUUUUCCUCCGAUCCUGCAGCCUUCCUCAUCCCUCUUCCUCGAUCCUCCCUCCACCACCAGCCGCUGCUACCGCUCCUCCAUGGCUCAACCCCUCCUCUUCGUCCGAUGGAGGUGACCGACUUUGCUCGGUCUCGAGCUGCUCGUUCUCUCCUCUCCCCCGACGACCAGUGCAGGGGAGAGAAGAUGAGAGAGGAGGGAGAGAGAAGGAAGGAGAGGAGGGAUAAAGAGAUAGGAAAGAGAAAAGGGAGGUACGACGGCGGACGGGGUAGGUUCACCGGUCGGCGCCGGCAAGGUCGGGCGUGGUCUCGGGGUCGGUGGUGGCUUGAUCCGCUCUUGGAUCGGGGGCCUCCCGUCCGCGCCGCAGCGUCGCUGGCAUGGAGGCCCGGGCUCGGGCAGCCACUGUCGUGUCGGGCGUGCUGGUGAGGUCUCUAGGGACACCAUGGCCCCAAUGUAAACGGCAACGCGGCCGCCCCAGAGGAAGUCAAAGACGAAGGAUCACUGGCAGUUUGAUCGAGUUCAUCUUCAUCCUACAGGUGGAUCCAACAAGUUUGACAGCUGGAGACACAGAAGAAGGGAGGCAGGUGGAGCAGUUGAUGGAACAGGAAGAGGACAUCAUGGAUCUACCUAGCUGAGGAUGGCAUGCUGGCACAACAACAUGGUCCUAUUGGGGAUGGUGAAGAAACAAACCCCACUGUCAGUUCUCCAAACCCUACUGGGGAUGAUGCGCCUCCUGCUCUCGUCCUCUGUUCGUCCGUCCACCUCGCUCCAGCCGCCGCCUCUCGUCCUCGGUUCGUCGUUCCGCCUCUCUCCACCCGUCGUUGCACUGCUUCUGUAGACCACCAUGAAGGUGGUUGUUGGUUGAGUGUGAGAGCUGUAGUUCUUCGUCGAUCGCUGAUCUUGUUCGUCAAUGAAUUCUGCGGCUGUCAUCGUCACCAAGAAAUCGCACUAAUUGGUUCGUCGUCAGAUUUGCCUUGCUGUUUCUUCUGCUCAAACGAUCAUCUUUGUGUUGAGGAAUUGGCGUCAUCAAUUGAUACUCGAGUUUACCUUGUUAUUUGAUCUGGGCAUAUCGACUCUGCGGUAAGAUUCCCAUGAACGGAGGUCUUAGGAGACAACUACGCCGAGUUAGCCAUCAUUUCAUUCAUUUACUACACGCCUAUCGGAGUUAACCAGAAAGCGGAAAUCCUGAUCCACGGAUCAUAACGGAACUAAACGAACCCGUUCCGCUGCUCCGCUGACAUGGCCCACUGCCCAGGUGCCUUGAAUUCUGUACCCGGAUCAUUGUCCUCUGGUGCAAAUGGUGCAUUUAUGGGUUAACUAUACUGAAGAGAACCUGCUCGACUACAUUGAUCCAAACAAUGAUACACUCAUGGUCAGACUUGCAGACGACCAUCUGCUCGCCGAAUGUCGCAUCAUGCUAGGAACUGACAAGAGGGCCACUACAACCACCAACAUUCGUGAAGGAGACAUCUGUGCAUUUCGUUUCAGGAUCACUUCAAAGGGCCGCCUGGUUCUCACCGUGCACUGCCUCUAGAUGCACCAUCGAAGACGCUGCAGCCCAUGUGUGACUGUGUCAAUAUAAUAUAAUAUAAUCCUAUGAUAACCUAUGGUUCGCUUUUGGGCAUCAUGGUUGUCACUAUUCUUUAUAGUAUAUAUUUCUAUUUCUCAUAUUAAAUUUUUGUUAACUAAAGCAAUCAUCCCAAACGCUAACUAGAAUA